GACGAACGCUGGCGGCGGGCUUAACACAUGCAAGUCGAACGGAAAGGCCCUGCUUUUGUGGGGUGCUCGAGUGGCGAACGGGUGAGUAACACGUGAGUAACCUGCCCUUGACUUUGGGGUAACUUCAGGAAACUGGGGCUAAUACCGGCUAGGAGCUCCUGCUGCAUGGUGGGGGUUGGAAAGUUUCGGCGGUUGGGGAUGGACUCGCGGCUUAUCAGCUUGUUGGUGGGGUAGUGGCUUACCAAGGCUUUGACGGGUAGCCGGCCUGAGAGGGUGACCGGCCACAUUGGGACUGCGUUACGGCCGAGACUCCUACGGGAAGCAGCAGUGGGGAAGAUGGCACAAUGGGCGGAGGCCUGAUGCAGCAACGCCGCGUGCGGGAUGACGGCCUUCGGGUUGUGAACCGAUUUCGCCUGUGACGAAGCGUGAGUGACGGUAAUGGGUAAAGAAGCACCGGCUAACUACGUG
Molecule: ribosomal RNA, 468 nt
Filed under: uncultured bacterium
Lineage: Bacteria
Description: partial 16S ribosomal RNA
Rfam family: Bacterial small subunit ribosomal RNA
Source: RNAcentral